CCUACGGGUGGCAGCAGUGAGGAAUAUUGGUCAAUGGGCGCGAGCCUGAACCAGCCAAGUAGCGUGAAGGAUGACUGCCCUACGGGUUGUAAACUUCUUUUAUAAAGGAAUAAAGUGAGGCACGUGUGCCUUUUUGUAUGUACUUUAUGAAUAAGGAUCGGCUAACUCCGUGCCAGCAGCCGCGGUAAUACGGAGGAUCCGAGCGUUAUCCGGAUUUAUUGGGUUUAAAGGGUGCGUAGGCGGGACCUUAAGUCAGCGGUAAAAUUGCGGUGCUCAACGCCGUAGAGCCGUUGAAACUGGGGUUCUUGAGUGAGCGAGAAGUAUGCGGAAUGCGUGGUGUAGCGGUGAAAUGCAUAGAUAUCACGCAGAACCCCGAUUGCGAAGGCAGCAUACCGGCGCUCAACUGACGCUGAGGCACGAAAGUGCGGGUAUCGAACAGGAUUAGAUACCCGUGUAGUC
RNAcentral lists this ribosomal RNA (459 nucleotides) under uncultured bacterium. RNAcentral describes it as "partial 16S ribosomal RNA". It matches the Rfam family "Bacterial small subunit ribosomal RNA", at positions 338 to 795 of the family's 1533-position model. The record is from RNAcentral.